RNAcentral lists this ribosomal RNA (428 nucleotides) under uncultured bacterium. Its description in RNAcentral is "bacterial SSU rRNA". It matches the Rfam family "Bacterial small subunit ribosomal RNA", at positions 30 to 454 of the family's 1533-position model. The record is from RNAcentral.
AUUGAACGCUGGCGGUAUGCUUAACACAUGCAAGUCGAACGGUAACAGGCAAAGCUUGCUUUGCGCUGACGAGUGGCGGACGGGUGAGUAACGCGUGGGAAUCUACCUUUUAGUGGGGGAUAGCCCGGAGAAAUCCGGAUUAAUACCGCAUAAGCCCUACGGGGGAAAGCUGGGGAUCUUCGGACCUGGCGCUAUUAGAUGAGCCCGCGUUAGAUUAGCUAGUUGGUGGGGUAAAGGCCUACCAAGGCGACGAUCUAUAGCUGGUCUGAGAGGACGAUCAGCCACACUGGGACUGAGACACGGCCCAGACUCCUACGGGAGGCAGCAGUGGGGAAUAUUGCACAAUGGGCGCAAGCCUGAUGCAGCAAUACCGCGUGUGUGAAGAAGGCCUGCGGGUUGUAAAGCACUUUCAAUCGUGAAGAAAUGUU